UUUUGAUGAGCAGAAGUUUAGUUUUUGAUGAAGUGUUAUUUAUUAAUUUUUCUUUUAAGAUUAUGGCUUUCUGUCUCCUAAAAACCUUUGUGCACCUCAUUGUCAGAUAAUAUACUAAUACUAAUUUUUUGUGUUUGUUUUUUGUUUUAUUUUUAAGACAAGGUCUUGCUCUGUUGCCCAGGCUGGAGUGCAGUGGCGCCAUCAUGGCUCUCUGAAGCCUCAACCUCCCAGGCUCAAGUGAUCCUCCCAUCUCAGCCUCCCAAGUACCUGGGACACAGGCACAUGCCACCACACCCAGCUAAUUAAAAAAAAAAAAAAA
Molecule: long non-coding RNA, 319 nt
Filed under: Homo sapiens (human)
Lineage: Eukaryota; Metazoa; Chordata; Mammalia; Primates; Hominidae
Description: non-protein coding lnc-ABHD3-4:1
Source: RNAcentral